Molecule: ribosomal RNA, 253 nt
Filed under: uncultured bacterium
Lineage: Bacteria
Description: partial 16S ribosomal RNA
Rfam family: Bacterial small subunit ribosomal RNA
Source: RNAcentral
UACGUAGGGGGCGAGCGUUGUCCGGAAUUACUGGGCGUAAAGGGUGCGCAGGCGGUGCUCUAAGUCAGAUGUGAAAUAUCCAUGCUUAACGUGGAGGGUGCAUUUGAAACUGGAGCACUUGAGUGCAGGAGAGGUAAGUGGAAUUCCUAGUGUAGCGGUGAAAUGCGUAGAUAUUAGGAGGAACACCAGUGGCGAAGGCGACUUACUGGACUGUAACUGACGCUGAGGCACGAAAGCGUGGGGAGCAAACAGG